GUGGACCAGCCCUGCCUGAUGUGGAGAGCAGGAAGAAAGAGACACCCAGGACCACAGACAGAAGACCCUGCAUCUCUUGGCUCAGCUCCUGAUGCUUACAUAGAAAUGGACAUCAUUCAGUGAAUGACCGUUAUCUACAAAAUGCCAUAAGACCUAGGUUAUUGGUCACACACCAGCACUGAGCUCCUGCCUGAAUUAUAAAACACAGAGAUUUUUGGAACAACAACAACAAAAACCUCAUGACGGUUGACAGCUCCAGAGGCCAGGCCUGAAACUCCAAGCCUGUUCCUACCUCCCAUUCUGGAUGGACCCGCGGAAGGAACAAGCAGCUCUGAAGGUGCCCAUGAGGCAACGCAGAACAAUCUACUCUCUCUCCAGUCUUCAUCGUCCCCUCCCCCAAUCCAACAAAUGACCUACCACCAC
Non-coding RNA from Kogia breviceps (pygmy sperm whale), 423 nucleotides. The record is from RefSeq and is a predicted model, not a curated record. NCBI's taxonomy places the organism in Eukaryota, Metazoa, Chordata, Mammalia, Artiodactyla, Physeteridae.